CUGAUUGACAUGGAAACUGCAAAACUACUUGAAAGCAGCAUAGGGCUGAAUCCUGCUCCAUUUCUAUUUAUGUCACUCCAGUGAUGCUACAAUGAGACACAGUGGUGGGAAUCAGAAUAUCAGCAAACAGGCCAUCUAGCAUCCCAAGAGGGCCAGCAUUUUCAGAAUUCAGAAAGAUUAAACACAGCAGUGAUAGACAGCUCCAUGGGAUUCAACAAUCAAGAUACUGCACUUUUCCUAUGACUUAAAACACUGCAGUGGCAAAGCCUAGCCUUCCUUGGGAAGUGUCUGCAGUGUUACAGCUGGACAACAAUGCCCUUGCUCCAUCUGCAGGACCAGAGUGCAAAGCUGCUGGCAUGUGGAAAGACUCAGUGGCCCCUUCCCUCCACCUUCCCUCACGCCUUUCCUGGCAAAUCUGCCUUUCAAAUCAUA
Molecule: long non-coding RNA, 432 nt
Organism: Cyanistes caeruleus (blue tit)
Lineage: Eukaryota; Metazoa; Chordata; Aves; Passeriformes; Paridae
Source: RefSeq, a predicted model, not a curated record